RNAcentral lists this long non-coding RNA (1030 nucleotides) under Zonotrichia albicollis (white-throated sparrow). Its description in RNAcentral is "lncRNA (ENSZALG00000005344.1)". The record is from RNAcentral. Lineage: Eukaryota; Metazoa; Chordata; Aves; Passeriformes; Passerellidae.
CAAAAUUCCUGAGAAUUCCCAGAAAACCCAGACAUUCCCAACAUUCCUGGAAUAUUCCGGAGCUGGGAGCCGACCCCGACGGGUGAGCCCUGCCCCUGAUUCCCAAAAAUUCCAAAAAAUUCCCAAAAAUUCCCAACAUUCCCGGAACAUUCCGGAGCCUGGAGCUGAGCCUGAUGGGUGAGAACUGCCCCUGAUUCCCAGAAUUCCCAAAAAUUCCCAAAAAUUCCCAACAUUCCUCGAACAUUCCGGAGCCCGGAGCCGAGGCUGACGGGUGAGAACUGCCCUUGAUUCCCAGAAUUCCCAAAAAUUCCCAAAAAUUCCCAACAUUCCCGGAACUUCUCAGAGCUGAGCCUGACGGGUGAGAACUGCCCCCCCAUCCCGGAAUUCCCAAAAAUUCCCCAAAAUUCCCAAAAAUUCCCGGAACUUCCCAGAGCUGAGCCUGAUGGGUGAGCCCCGCCCCUGAUUCCCAAAAAUUCCCAAAAAUUCCCUAAAAUUCCCCAGAAUUCCAACAAAUCCAAAACAAUUUUUCAAAGCUGGAAAAUUCCCAGAAUUUUCCCCUAAAAAUUCCCAAAAUUCCUGAAAUUCCCAGAAUUCCAAGAAUUCACAAAAUUCUCACAAUUUGCAGAUCCAGAAGUUCUGGAAUUCUGACAAUUCUCAAAUUUCCCAGUUCCAAAAUUCCUGGAAUUUCCAGAAUUCCCAGAAUUCUGAGAAUUCCCAGAACUGGAAUUCCAGGAAUUGUGACAAUUCCCAAAAUUCCCAAAACUCAAAAUUCUGAGAAUUCCCAAAUUUCCCCGAGCAGGAAUCCCCAGAAUCCCCAAAAUUCCCAAAAUUCCCAAAAUUCCGGAGCCGCCGAUUCCCAGAAUUCCCGGCAGCUGCAGGAGAGCAAAUUCCAGGAGGCCGUCAUCAAAACCAUCGGUGAGAAUUCCAUAUUUUUAUGGGAUUUUUGGGGGUUUUGUGGGAUUUUCCCAUCAUUCCCAUUAUUUGCACUCCUGUUAUUCCCCCUAUUCCCAUCAUUCCCAUUCCCAUUAUU